UACGAAGGGGGCUAGCGUUGUUCGGAAUUACUGGGCGUAAAGCGCACGUAGGCGGAUUGUUAAGUUAGGGGUGAAAUCCCAGGGCUCAACCCUGGAACUGCCUUUAAUACUGGCAAUCUCGAGUCCGAGAGAGGUGAGUGGAAUUCCGAGUGUAGAGGUGAAAUUCGUAGAUAUUCGCAAGAACACCAGUGGCGAAGGCGGCUCACUGGUCCGAUACUGACGCUGAGGUGCGAAAGCGUGGGGGAGCAAACAGG
Molecule: ribosomal RNA, 254 nt
Filed under: uncultured bacterium
Lineage: Bacteria
Description: partial 16S ribosomal RNA
Rfam family: Bacterial small subunit ribosomal RNA
Source: RNAcentral